RNAcentral lists this ribosomal RNA (305 nucleotides) under uncultured bacterium. Its description in RNAcentral is "bacterial SSU rRNA". It matches the Rfam family "Bacterial small subunit ribosomal RNA", at positions 337 to 640 of the family's 1533-position model. The record is from RNAcentral.
UCCUACGGGGCGCAGCAGUGAGGAAUAUUGGUCAAUGGGCGGGAGCCUGAACCAGCCAAGCCGCGUGAAGGAGGAAGGCGCCAAGCGUCGUAAACUUCUUUUGUCGGGGAACAAAGGGCGCCACGUGUGGCGUUGUGAGUGUACCCGAAGAAAAAGCAUCGGCUAACUCCGUGCCAGCAGCCGCGGUAAUACGGAGGAUGCAAGCGUUAUCCGGAUUUAUUGGGUUUAAAGGGUGCGUAGGCGGUCCGGAAAGUCAGCGGUAAAAGCCCGGGGCUCAACCCUGGCGAGCCGUUGAAACUGUCGGG